GCUGGAUUAGUUCAUUUGGCAGAACCCCGGUUUUGUACUCCGGCAAGGCGGGAUCGUAGCCUGCAUCCAGCACCA
Molecule: transfer RNA, 75 nt
Filed under: Caudoviricetes sp.
Lineage: Duplodnaviria; Heunggongvirae; Uroviricota; Caudoviricetes
Description: tRNA-Thr
Rfam family: tRNA
About the family: Transfer RNA (tRNA) molecules are approximately 80 nucleotides in length. Their secondary structure includes four short double-helical elements and three loops (D, anti-codon, and T loops).
Source: RNAcentral